This 715-nucleotide ribosomal RNA is filed under the name uncultured bacterium. Its description in RNAcentral is "bacterial SSU rRNA". It matches the Rfam family "Bacterial small subunit ribosomal RNA", at positions 117 to 820 of the family's 1533-position model. The record is from RNAcentral.
GUAGGUAACCUGCCUUGUAGCGGGGGAUAACUAUUGGAAACGAUAGCUAAUACCGCAUAACAAUGGAUGACACAUGUCAUUUAUUUGAAAGGGGCAAUUGCUCCACUACAAGAUGGACCUGCGUUGUAUUAGCUAGUAGGUGAGGUAAUGGCUCACCUAGGCGACGAUACAUAGCCGACCUGAGAGGGUGAUCGGCCACACUGGGACUGAGACACGGCCCAGACUCCUACGGGAGGCAGCAGUAGGGAAUCUUCGGCAAUGGGGGCAACCCUGACCGAGCAACGCCGCGUGAGUGAAGAAGGUUUUCGGAUCGUAAAGCUCUGUUGUAAGUCAAGAACGGGUGUGAGAGUGGAAAGUUCACACUGUGACGGUAGCUUACCAGAAAGGGACGGCUAACUACGUGCCAGCAGCCGCGGUAAUACGUAGGUCCCGAGCGUUGUCCGGAUUUAUUGGGCGUAAAGCGAGCGCAGGCGGUUCGAUAAGUCUGAAGUUAAAGGCUGUGGCUCAACCAUAGUUCGCUUUGGAAACUGUCAAACUUGAGUGCAGAAGGGGAGAGUGGAAUUCCAUGUGUAGCGGUGAAAUGCGUAGAUAUAUGGAGGAACACCGGUGGCGAAAGCGGCUCUCUGGUCUGUAACUGACGCUGAGGCUCGAAAGCGUGGGGAGCGAACAGGAUUAGAUACCCUGGUAGUCCACGCCGUANACGAUGAGUGCUAGG